Molecule: ribosomal RNA, 95 nt
Filed under: Geobacillus zalihae
Lineage: Bacteria; Bacillati; Bacillota; Bacilli; Caryophanales; Anoxybacillaceae
Source: RNAcentral
AAACACCCGUUCCCAUCCCGAACACGGAAGUUAAGCCCUCCAGCGCCGAUGGUAGUUGGGGCCAGCGCCCCUGCAAGAGUAGGUCGCUGCUAGGC